AAUUUAAACACCAUAAUGUACAUACAGUAUUAUUGUAUACAUAUAGAAGCAUUUUCUUAAGUCAAUAAUUUCUCAAAGAUCAUAUUAAUAUUUCAGGAAAGUUCACACCAGAUCUGCUACAGCAAACUGAACAUAAAGUGGCAUACUUGUGUGUCAGGAAACAAGGAACAUGUAUGGCUGGACUGAGAAUCUAACUGGGGAUCCCUGCAUCACUAGUUACAUAUCCCAUGGAAUAAAGGAUCCAUGGCUAAUCAAGUGUCGAUCAUCUGCAGUGUUACAAAAGAAUAUUGGAUUUAUAUCAAUAAGAAAAAGAACUACCAGAAGGAGACGGUAAAGCGGAACGGACAUAUCACACCAUAAGACGUGCUUCACAAUCUGAAUAUACAGAGUGAAUUUUGCUUGCUGCAGAUCCUUGUGAAAGAAUACCUUUGUUGUAUUGACAUAAAAACAACGGAAUUUUGUCAGGAUCAUUGAACAUGACGCAACUGGCUGCAUACGAUGGCAAUAAAAGAUGCAUACAUGUUUACAUUGAACUUUGUUAGCCAAUAAGACAAAAAGCAAUAUAGCAAUUUUAUCCUAUUACCGUACAUGUACUGAAUGUAUUCACUUUAUUUUGUUGAACUACAUCAUGAGUUUGAAAAUUGUACAGUAUCACAUACAGUUUAUGGUGGGAUUCUUCUAACUUUUAUGAAUCUGUUUGCAAAAUCUAUACUUUAAAGUUACAAAUUAUUACCUCUAAUACAUUGUAUGUUUUUUUUUUUUUAUAAAUUAUUACACUAUUUUUGUAUGUAUGUAAUGAUAACCAAAUCACCCAAUUUUCCUGCACUUUUUACCAUUUAUUUAGCAUAUUUUUUUACCAUGAUUUAGUAUAUUAAUAUCUGACAACUGAUGACCAGGCAGUCUUCAUUUAACAGUGUAAUAAUGUAUCUUAAUAUUUUUAAAACAAGGAUAACAUGCCAUGGAUUGAUUCUGUGUUCAAAACUUCA
This is a long non-coding RNA of Saccostrea cuccullata (small rock oyster), 986 nucleotides long. RefSeq lists it as uncharacterized. The record is from RefSeq and is a predicted model, not a curated record. NCBI's taxonomy places the organism in Eukaryota, Metazoa, Mollusca, Bivalvia, Ostreida, Ostreidae. The transcript is spliced from 3 exons.